Megalobrama amblycephala (Wuchang bream) is the source of this 614-nucleotide long non-coding RNA. RefSeq lists it as uncharacterized. NCBI's taxonomy places the organism in Eukaryota, Metazoa, Chordata, Actinopteri, Cypriniformes, Xenocyprididae. The record is from RefSeq and is a predicted model, not a curated record. The transcript has 5 exons.
CAGAAGUUAAUGAUGCAAAAAGAAAGCCAAACCAGGAGGACUGAACCGUUGAAGAAUGUCUCUCUGGAUCUGAUUCUUGCCCCUAAACAUUGCCAAAACAUCCAUAGCUAAGAACAUCACCUGUGACUGUGCUUGGAAAGAACAUCACGGAGCUUCUCCAGGUGAGGUAGCCUGUUGAAGCACAGAGCAGAAAACAGAUGCAAUCGCUCACAUGAUUCAUGCAUGACAUUUACAGCAUCAGAACGCUUUUGGCUCCAACACUUGAGUCAUGUCCUCCCACACUCGCUCUUCAUCCUGGGUCAAGUUCCUGUCUUCUCGUGCGAUCCUCGCCAUGGAAACCAUGAACUCCAGGUCUAUAACGAGCCACAGUGCCAAUCAUCACUGUCUCAUCCUCUCACCCUCCUCGACACGGCUCUAUCUCACAUGACAGAUGAGCAGGACGGCCACUGCUGGGUGAAACCACUGGGCUUUUCCAUCAGUCUAGCGUCUUAUCAACACCCAGCGACAGCACGGCUGAAGCGAUUGCAUUUAUCCCAUUUAGAUAAGCCCAAGAUGCUGCCAUUCUCAGCGAGAGUGAAUUAGAGACGGCCUGCGCUAUCUCCAGUACCUGAUGU